UACGAAGGGGGCUAGCGUUGCUCGGAAUCACUGGGCGUAAAGGGCGCGUAGGCGGGCUGUCAAGUCUGGGGUGAAAUCCCGCGGCUCAACCGUGGAACUGCCUCAGAUACUGACGGCCUCGAGGGAGGUAGGGGCGAGCGGAACUGUGAGUGGAGCGGUGAAAUGCGUUGAUAUUCACAGGAACUCCGGUGGCGAAGGCGGCUCGCUGGACCUUUUCUGACGCCGAGGCGCGAAAGCUAGGGGAGCAAACGGG
RNAcentral lists this ribosomal RNA (253 nucleotides) under uncultured bacterium. RNAcentral's name for it is "partial 16S ribosomal RNA". It matches the Rfam family "Bacterial small subunit ribosomal RNA", at positions 524 to 776 of the family's 1533-position model. The record is from RNAcentral.